This 484-nucleotide ribosomal RNA is filed under the name uncultured bacterium. RNAcentral's name for it is "partial 16S ribosomal RNA". It matches the Rfam family "Bacterial small subunit ribosomal RNA", at positions 38 to 507 of the family's 1533-position model. The record is from RNAcentral.
GGGGGGGGGGGGGGGGGGGGGGGGCGGGGGGGGGGCGGGCGGGUGAAGGGGGCUUGCUGCGGGAUUCCGCGGCGGGCGGGUGGGUAGUGCCUAGGAGUCUGCCUGGUAGUGGGGGGUGACGUCCGGGAACGGGCGCUAAUCCCGCAUACGUCCGGCGGGGGACAGUGGGGGAUCUUCGGACCUCACGCUAUCAGCUGAGCCUAGGUCGGAUUAGCUAGUUGGUGGGGUAAAGGCCUACCACGGCGACGAUCCGUAACUGGUCUGAGAGGAUGAUCAGUCACACGGGAACUGAGACACGGUCCAGACUCCUGCGGGACGCAGCAGUGGGGAAUAUUGGACAAUGGGCGAAAGCCUGAUCCAGCCAUGCCGCGUGUGUGAAGAAGGUCUUCGGAUUGGAAAGCACUUUAAGUUGGGAGGAAGGGCAGUAAGUUAAUACCUUGCUGUUUUGACGUUACUAACAGAAUAAGCACCGGCUAACUUCGUG